GAUGAAGAACGUAGCGAAAUGCGAUAAGUAAUGUGAAUUGCAGAAUUCAGUGAAUCAUCGAAUCUUUGAACGCACCUUGCGCCCUUUGGCCAUUCCGAAGGGCAUGCCUGUUGAGUAUCAUGAACACCUCAACUCUUUAUGGUUUUCCAUGAUGAGCUUGGACUCUGGGGGUUUUGCUGGCUCACAGUCGGCUCCUCUAAAAUGAAUCAGCUUACCAGUGUUUGGUGGGUAUCAUGGGUGUGAUAACUAUCUACGCUUGUGGUUUUUCCACCAGGUAACCUUCAGCAGUGGAGGUUCGCUGGAGCUCAUAGAUGUCUCUCCUCAGUGAGGACAGCCCUUUGAAUGUUUGAUCUCAAAUCAGGUAGGACUACCCGCUGAACUUAAGCAUAUCAAUAAGCGGAGGA
RNAcentral lists this unclassified non-coding RNA (404 nucleotides) under soil metagenome. Its description in RNAcentral is "partial contains 5.8S ribosomal RNA, internal transcribed spacer 2, and large subunit ribosomal RNA". The stretch from base 1 to 120 matches the Rfam family "5.8S ribosomal RNA", at positions 35 to 154 of the family's 154-position model. The record is from RNAcentral.